Molecule: unclassified non-coding RNA, 562 nt
Filed under: Bombus terrestris (buff-tailed bumblebee)
Lineage: Eukaryota; Metazoa; Arthropoda; Insecta; Hymenoptera; Apidae
Description: misc RNA ENSBTSG00005033474.1
Source: RNAcentral
AUUUAAUAAAGAUAAUAAAUUGAUAGGCGUAAAAAAGCUGUAGAUAAGGUAUAGUAAAGUAUGGUAGGAUUAUGGGAUCAUAGUAAACUAAUCUAUGUAGAAAUAAGUAAAUAAAUUUGGUACUUACUCUAAGAGAUUAGCUGACCAAUAUUAUGAUGAACCAUAGAGCUAGGUGUAAAUAAACAUCUGCGAAUUCGUCCUAAAAAGUAAUAAAAAGAAUUAAGUUAACCGUGGUAUAUGGUAGAUAGUUCAUAUCGCUGCAUAAUACGAAUACACAGGAAGACACAACGGAAAUAUUUAUGAUUGACCAACAAUGGCAUAUAGCAUCCGAUUUUGAUUUGAAAAGUUUUAUUACGAGUAUAAUAGUAUAUAUAAAUAUUGGCUCACCUUGCCAUGGUGGUAAUACCAGGCAGAUAUUUAUUAAUAGGACUGCAGGGCCUGUCCUUAAAGUAAAUUAAAUUAAAUUAAAUUGAAAUCAACUAAUUAAAUAAAUAAUAUUGGAUGAUUUUAACUAAUGAUUGCACAACAGCCUAUGGUACGUACCGGUUUGAGUGGAGGUAAC